UACAGAGGGUGCGAGCGUUAAUCGGAGUUAUUGGGCGUAAAGGGCGCGUAGGCGGUUUAUCAAGUGAGAUGUGAAAUCCCUGGGCUUAACCUAGGAAUUGCAUUUUAGACUGGUAGGCUAGAGUACAGUAGAGGGUGGUGGAAUUUCCGGUGUAGCGGUGAAAUGCGUAGAGAUCGGAAGGAACAUCAGUGGCGAAGGCGACCACCUGGACUGACACUGACGCUGAGACGCGAAAGCGUGGGGAGCAAACAGG
This 253-nucleotide ribosomal RNA is filed under the name uncultured bacterium. RNAcentral describes it as "partial 16S ribosomal RNA". It matches the Rfam family "Bacterial small subunit ribosomal RNA", at positions 524 to 776 of the family's 1533-position model. The record is from RNAcentral.